Molecule: ribosomal RNA, 496 nt
Filed under: uncultured bacterium
Lineage: Bacteria
Description: partial 16S ribosomal RNA
Rfam family: Bacterial small subunit ribosomal RNA
Source: RNAcentral
AUGAACGCUGGCGGCGUGCCUAAUACCUGCCAGUCGAGCGAACGGACGAGAAGCUUGCUUCUCUGAUGUUAGCGGCGGACGGGUGAGUAACACGUGGAUAACCUACCUAUAAGACUGGGAUAACUUCGGGAAACCGGAGCUAAUACCGGAUAAUAUUUUGAACCGCAUGGUUCAAAAGUGAAAGACGGUCUUGCUGUCACUUAUAGAUGGAUCCGCGCUGCAUUAGCUAGUUGGUAAGGUAACGGCUUACCAAGGCAACGAUGCAUAGCCGACCUGAGAGGGUGAUAGGCCACACUGGAACUGAGACACGGUCCAGACUCCUACGGGAGGCAGCAGUAGGGAAUCUUCCGCAAUGGGCGAAAGCCUGACGGGGCAACGCCGCGUGAGUGAUGAAGGUCUUCGGAUCGUAAAACUCUGUUAUUAGGGAAGAACAUAUGUGUAAGUAACUGUGCACAUCUUGACGGUACCUAAUCAGAAAGCCACGGCUAACUACGUG